CCCGGUUUCCCGGCCGCGUUUUCCCGGUUUCCCCAGCCGCGUUUUCCCGGUUUUCCCGAACCAGAAGUCGUCCACUCAACGAUAAAAGAACCCGCGCCCGUGCGGUUUGUUACAAGUCCGGCGCCGAAGACCCCCAGUGAUCCGAUCGAACUUCCAGCGGUUACCGCCGCGAAGAAGCAACCAGUCAACCAGUACGGUUUUCCGGUAAUCCCGUGCCCGGAACCAUCGUAGAUGACGUGAUCACAUUUCUUGAACGCAACGACUUCCACCUGAUUUCCAAGAACGUCCGCCAGGGAACCGUCUCGCCCACCUCAUACAACUGGACGCGGACAAGCUGCAGCAGUACUCGUUGCCCGUGUUGUCGGAAUGGAGCAGGAAUCGGACACUGAAGGGGGGGCAGGCCGGCAAGAAAAUCAAUUAAGAAAAAGCCACGGCUGGGGAGUUCAAUUCCGUCCCGCGGGAAGCGGGUUACGCCAAUGAAGAAGACGUCGCUGACGUUUGCCAUUUUCGGCACCAGUAUUAACCGGAUUGGGGUGCAGAAGAUAUGGGGGAGGACCGGAGAAGCAGCAGCUGAGGCGAUGCAAAACAUCAACCGCAACCCGCUGUCACCCGUUUACCGACGACAAUGACCGCACCGAGAAACCCGUAAACGUGAAACACCUCAUCAUUUCGCCUUCAAUACCGCGUCCGCUACUACAAGUCCAGCCCAACAAAGUGAAUCUCCUCUACGAGAGUGUCAUGCAGCAGCAUCCCCUCAAUCCGACGUACCAGACCGUACCAAGCUGCCCAACGUGACGCUCGGGUUCUCCUCCCUGCCGCGAACGUUCUAUUUUCCCGCUCGAAGGACCUGCUGCCAUGGUAUGAGAGCGACGUCGUCGUUCGGGACCAAAAUGUGCGGCCAAAGACGGUUGUGGACCAGUCGGUUCCGCCGGCCAAGCGACAACCUUCAAGUACUAGUUUGGCCAGAACGAUAAUGUGGUGCCGAAUUCCUAGCAACAUCCUCCAUCAGCACCAGUUGUUCCAGAGAUUCUGCACAGCGGGGUUCAGUGUGUGGUUCCCGUUCCCCCCUAACUGAGAUCUCGAACAACCCAAAUCCGGUCAUCAACAGUCAAGUGAAACAAAAAAAAAACAAAAAUACACAGCUGCAAAAUAUGAAAGUAAAAAAAA
Culex quinquefasciatus (southern house mosquito) is the source of this 1167-nucleotide long non-coding RNA. RefSeq lists it as uncharacterized. The record is from RefSeq and is a predicted model, not a curated record. The transcript has 3 exons. Lineage: Eukaryota; Metazoa; Arthropoda; Insecta; Diptera; Culicidae.